UUUAAGCAUAUCACUCAGUGGAGGAACAGCAAGCAACUGCGAUUGCUGCAGUAAUGGCGAAUGAACGAGCAGGACCCAUGGCUCUCCCUGAAAUCGGGACUCCUGACUCCAGUUGACACCACAACCAAACCACACACCCAUGCGGUGCUGUGGGGUGCGACUAGAUCGGCUUUCGUUGGAAUCCAGCAAACCCUGUGGGCUAUGGAGCGACUGGCUGCGUCCUGGUGAUCCCAGUGCCAAGAAGAGUCCUGGAAUGGACCCACAGAACAGGGAUACUGUCCCGUAUGACGCCCGUGCACUGGGACCCACCGGGGUGUGGCUGGCCGCAUCCCUGAGUAGAGUGGCUUGGGACUGCAGUUUGAAGAGCGAUGUGUAUCCAUCGCAAGGUGGCAUACAGACCUGGGACCGAUAGCGCAGAAGUAGAGUGAUCGAAGGAUGCAAAGAACUCCGCGAAGAGGGUUAAAAGCCCCUGAAGCCGCAACAGGAACGGUGGUGUGCAGUGCUGUAUUAUUGCUAGAUUCGUCCAAGCGUCCCUGGGUCAGCCCUGGACUGGUCGCUGAGCUCCCAUCCUUGGAUGGGAAUGACUAUCGCGGCAGUCCUGUGGUGGCAGCAACGCCCUGCCUGGACCUGGGGUUUACCAGUGAAACUCAGUCUUCGUCGUGGUGUUCCCUCACCCGAUGUGGCUCUGGAUGCGAAGCAGACCAACCGGACACGGUUUGUGUGUGUGGCCCAACGGUGUUGUUGUCUCCCACGGCCGGAUAUGAAGAGUGAAACAACUCCCGGCGUGGUGUGUUCAACUCACCUCCCACACAUACCCGUGUUCCGUGUUGCGACSCUUGUUGAUUUGCUGCUUGUCCCCAAUCCUGGUGCGUCUUCGGACGUGUCAGUCGCUGGCUGGUCGAUCUGGAUUAGGGGUGUGCUCGGCUGUACUGGGGUCUGCAUCGUUCUGACGAUGGUCACCGUACUGGCUGCACCACCCCCCAGCUUGGCCCCAGUGAGAAAUGGCAGCGGAGCUUGGCACCCAACCUCACAGUGCUGCUCUCUGCCCGUCUCGAAACACGGACCAAGGAGUCUAAGGAGCUUGCUUGUCGGAUGGCUGAUACAAAACCUCUUUGAGGCGUGGUGAAGGCAAUACUCUCUUCCAGAUGGGCUGUGAUAUCUCUGCAUGGAACGACCGGACCCGAAGUCCAGUGGACAGGGUUUUGAGUGAAUGCAAGGUCCUUGGGACCCGAAAGGUGGUGAACUAUACCGUUCUACGGUGAAGCCAUGGGAAACUGUGGUGGAGGCCGGUAGCUGUUCUGACGUGCAAAUUGUGUAGCCUGAGUGCGGCAUAGGGGUGAAAGGCCAAUCGAGCCACCUAGUAGCUGGUUCCCUUCGAAGUUUCCCUCAGGAUAGCUGGGAUCCAGAAAAGCGAAGAUCGAUGAGACUGGUUGCAUCCGGUAAAGCAACGCAUGAGAGGCCAACCCUGGGGAGCCCAGCUCCUCAACCUAUCCUCAAACUGUGAAUGGGUGCGGACAAUACCAGGCACGCUUCUUUGCCACGACUGGAGUCUGUGUCACAGCAGUUCUCCCUGUCUUCUGAGCGUGUUCGUCCCAAUUGUGAUGGCUUUUUUACUGCUGGUGGCUGAUGGGAGAACGUUCUCCAGUGGUGUGUAGAGGGGCACACCACCGCGACACUCUCGGUGGGGGUAAACAGAGCGAACAAAGACACCCCCAUCGUGUGGCUGUUGUGUGUUGUUGCUGUCUCGCUCCAUCACUGUCCGUCUCCCUGUGUCCACCGGGACCCUCGUGGUCCGAUCCUAGGGAGGUGUGCAUCAUGCACACCGACCUGUGGCAGUACACACAAAGUCCUCGCAAGUCGUUGAACAAUGGCUCCUAUGUGGACCAUGACUGGUAAGCAGUGCUGGUGAUGCGGGGUGCUCCGAGAGCAGACUUACAGAUCCAGAGUGUUGGCUCAUACUCAGAUCCCACAAAGGAUGUUGCUUACUAUGGAUAGCAGGACGGUGGCCAUGAAGGUUGGAACCCGCUGAGGAAUGUGUAACAACUCACCUGCCGAAGUGCGCAGCUCCGAAAAUGGAUGGUGCCCAAGUCAGUGUCUCCCUCACAGUCUGCCAGCGAUAUGGCAGCCAAGGCAGAGCAUCGCUGUGUAGAAAGGGCAUGGAUGACCGCUGAUCGUGCUGGGAGUGUUCCCGGCUUGAGGCGUCACCCAGAGCAGAUCUUGGUUGUAGUAGCGAGUACUCCACCGAAUGAGGAGUGGCAACACAACUCCGCUAUAUGCGAUUGAGGACUGGAGUGGAGCAGGUUUCCACACCAAACAGCCGUUGAAUGUGGGUCAACCGACCGUGAGCCAAGUGGUAAGUUCACUAAACAACCAAAGCUGCCUUGAUCCAACUCCUGUCUCCCCGCAGUCACCGUCCGGUGCCCCCCACACCCAGCGAACGGUUGAGAGAGAGAACCCAGCCACAACCGCCCUGUGGUGGGACACCGAUGAUGCUGUGGGAGAUAGAGCGGGAACAAGUGGGCAGGAAUGGCAAACAGGCAAGUGCGAGCAAGAUUCUACUGUCAUGGGCUAGAGGUCUCUUUGGGCGGUGGCGACACCCCCAAGGCAGCCCCUCCAGGCGUCGGACCAGUGAAUCCCCUGUGGAGUUCUCGUUUCCUCCUGAUGCAGACUCACGCGGGCUAUCGAUCGGCAUGACAGAUGGUGGUGUACGCCCUUCGCUCAGCAAGGCAGUGUGGUCUCCACACUGAUGGCAGUUCCAAACCAAAAGCAGACAUUCUAUUGUUGAAGAGCGGCAGUCACUGGUUCCAAUGAACAGCCUGCAGGAUUUUCGUGCCUCAGGACCCUUGUGUCCGUACUGCAUCACCGCAGCCGGUCUCCUCGACUAGACGUCGCUUGUCCACGGACGAAAUGCAGCUAAGGGAAGUCGGCAAACUGGCCGUGCACCUUUGGAAGAUACGGUGGCUCCAGAAGCCAAGUCAGCGGGCCCUGUUGAGGGAGUUGUUGCGGUUGCAUUGGUCGAUCACCCUGUGGGACAGCUCUCGGGUUGUUCUGUGGGGCCGUUUCGCCUUUGCCCGUGCUUCAUUCCGAACAGGGGCAACCCCGGUUCGGUCCCUUGUGGGCCGGAUUGGGGCCGACCGGCUGUCUAUCCAGUGGCUCAUGUGGAACUGUUGCUGUGCAGGGGAAUCUGACUGUUUAAUUGAAACCCAGCUUUGUGAAGGGACCAGCUGGCUGGUUCCAUGAGGUGACUUCUGCCCAGUGCUCUGAUUGUCAAUGCGAAGAGAUUCAGCCAAGCGCGGGUAAACGGCGGGAGUAACUAUGACUCUCUUAAGGUAGCCAAAUGCCUCGUCAACCAAUUAUUGACGCGCAUGAAUGGAUCAACGAGAUUCCUGCUGUCCCUAGUCGCUGUCUGGUGAACCAACAACCAAGGGAACGGGCUUGGAUGUGUCAGCGGGGAAAGAA
This 3459-nucleotide ribosomal RNA is filed under the name Euglena hiemalis. RNAcentral's name for it is "partial large subunit ribosomal RNA". It matches the Rfam family "Eukaryotic large subunit ribosomal RNA", at positions 33 to 2409 of the family's 3401-position model. Lineage: Eukaryota; Euglenozoa; Euglenophyceae; Euglenales; Euglenaceae. The record is from RNAcentral.